GGAUCUGGUCAGUGUCUGGGUAGCAUGACCCAUGCAGAACCACAUACACACUGCCUUAGGUUCCAUGAUGGAUGAAACAUAGGCUACAAAUUUUCGGUAAGUAUGUAAGGCUGCAAUCCAAACCCCACUUACCUGGGAGUAAGCACCACUGAAUUCAAUGGGAGUUGCUUCUGUGUAAACGUCGUUAGCGUUGCAGCUUAAGCCCAUAAAUAUAGUGUAAAAAAUAAAAGUUGGUUGCAAUGCCUGGAAAGUUUAAAAGCUGCAACAUUAAAUAUAGCACUCCAAAUGCCUGGAUGCUUCUGAAUGAAUUGCUGUCAUGGACUUGUCCAUGGUUCUGAUUAUAAUUGCAAAAAUAAUAGCUGAAGGGUAACAUAGCUUUUGAAAGCGUAAUGGAAAAGAGCGAAAAAGAGAAAUUGGCUCAGCAAUAGCUUACUUAAUUUUUCAAGAAAACAAGCAAGUAUUGUGAGAUUCUUAAAUUGAAGGAAUAUAUAUUGUUAGCCUCCACAGGUGUCUUGAGAUGCAGCACAUAAUUCAGAAGAAUUUUUUCUCCUUUAGAAAUAAGGGGGAGAAAAUCACCACUUUGCUGCUGCUUUCUUAUUUACUAGUAGGCUUUUGCUUAAAUUGAGAAUGCUGGGUUUGAUUUAUCUUUAAAACGUUAAGUGAAUUGUGAGAUUCUUUUUAUCAAUAACAAAUAGCAGUGUGUAAUAACCUGCUGGCAUCCAUCUGUCUUGGAAAACAAUGGAGGAGUGCGCCUUUGGGGGUGAGGUCAAGCUGUUGGAAGUGACCUGUCCUGUACAAAAGCCCGGGCAGUGUGUAUUGGAGGUCCUGGGCUGCUCAGACGACAAGACUUCCCCUCUCUCCCUUUCUGAUGUGGGCCAAAGGAAAGGAAAACAAUACAUUUGGCACCAGUUCGGCUGCAGGAGUUGCCAGAAGGAGGCAUACAAGAUGCCAUCCAACCAUCUUAGGGACGUCGCUCUGGAUUUGUGUUGGGUUUAUUUCUUAGCCUUUUCUUCCCAAAGAUGUCCCACAAGGCAGCAGAGUACAUAUUUUUCCUCAGGGUUUACUCCUGAAGCCUUUCUCAUGAAUGAGUGUAACUGCAAGGCUGUAGAGGUUUAGGAUCAGAGUUUUACUUCUCAUAGAUGGGCUACCUUCCCAGGUUUACAAGCUCCAUCUGCCCCUCACUUCCCUCUACGGCACAUGCAGAAACAGCUUUAUUGACCUGUGGACCCACUAUUGGUCUCGUCCGCUAAAUCCACCAAAGUGUGUCUUUGCAUGCAGGGGAAGUCCCUAACUCACUGAGGGUUGAGACCCAUCGGCUAACCUCACCUGGUUUAGCAGAAGCCGUUCCUGGGGUAUGGCCUCUGUCGCAUGCUGGCAGCUUCUAGGAGCCACAGAUGAGAGCUGAAUGCAGGGAGGGGGGGACAAAUGGUGGGGGAACUGCCCCAGAAACAGCAUGUCAUGUCCCCCACCAGAGAUACUGCUUCUCUGCUAACACCCCAUACACCUCAGUGUUUAAUAGGAAAAUUGGUUAAGGAGGCAUUUGGACCCUUGGAUGUCAAAGGAAUCAAAGGUCUGUUAAAGGAAGAGAAACAGAAGCUGAAUGAAUUCUAUGCAUCUGUCUUCACAGCAGAAGACAUAGGGCAGGUCCCUAUGUCUGAAUUAACUUUUGCUGGAAGGGUGUUUGAAGAACUGGUGGUGAUGAGAGACAAAGUUCUGGGCCUAAUAGGCAAAAUAGAAAAGGGAAAUUUGUUGGAUCUGAAGGGCAUCCACUUGAGAGAUCUCAAAGAAUUCAAAUGUGAAAUUGCUGGUUGAACUUGUCCCUAAGAACUACCUCCAUACCUGUGGACUGGAAACUGUUUUACAUGCUCUUGUAUAUAGCCAACUAUAUGCCUGUGUGUGUGUGUGUGUGUGUGUGUGUGAGAGAGAGAAAGAGAGAGAGAGAGAGAGAGAGGUUGUGCCUACAUACUACUACUGCUGCUGCUGUCUGCUUUAGUAACACAGUCACACUAAGGCACCAUUGUGAUUUCAUGCUGAUGCUGCAUGCCGGAAGAAGGGAGAGUGGCCAUUGGCCUCUUCCAGCAGCCUCUUCUUAUGAUUUUGGAAGCAAGUAAGAUUUUAUAAAAGUACUAAAAUACAAUAUAUUUAACACCCCCACAUAUUAAAAAUCUCUUCUGCCUUGGUUACUGCAUUUACAUAAAACAAUGAGAAUUUCACUGCAGUAUAACAUAUUUGGAGUAUAUUGGGGGAGGAAGCUAAAUAUUGAUUGUUCAUUAAAUACAUGUGGAUAAUUAAUGCACAUAGGCACAUUAAAAUGGCAGAAUAAGCAACACAGCUUUUUGAAUCAAAUACGAGGCUUUGGUCACCCAUAUAAAGAUGUUAAAGGUAUUGGAAUUAAUGAAGUAGUGGGAGAGAAAGUGGGAAUAGAUUGGGCUGUAAGCAGAACUCAGUGGAUGUUAAUUAAAAUGUCUAGAGUUUCAUUGUGUGGAAGGAAAUGAAUUCAUAGUUAAAAUAGGCAAGACACUGAGAUCUAUGAUUGCAUCUCACACUUGUUUUGUUCAGUGCUGCUAUGUAGGAUGGAGGGACAAUCAGCUCAAGAAAGUGGUGCUGUGGUGAAGGUGUUUAAUCUUGUUUUAUGUUCCUAAUGUGUAUCUUUGUCCACAUAUGUUGAGAAAUAUGCAUGUACUGGAAGAACAUGUUUUGUCUUUAGCUAGGAGUCAUGGUGUGCCACGGAGCAAAUUCUGCAAGGAAGGGGGAAUAAGCCACAAGAUGGCAGACCAAAGUUUAGAAUAGAAGAAUAUGGAGUUUAUUACAAAACAGAAAUAUACAUUGC
Podarcis lilfordi (Lilford's wall lizard) is the source of this 2830-nucleotide non-coding RNA. NCBI's taxonomy places the organism in Eukaryota, Metazoa, Chordata, Lepidosauria, Squamata, Lacertidae. The record is from the annotation of a GenBank genome assembly.